This 450-nucleotide ribosomal RNA is filed under the name uncultured bacterium. RNAcentral's name for it is "partial 16S ribosomal RNA". It matches the Rfam family "Bacterial small subunit ribosomal RNA", at positions 338 to 795 of the family's 1533-position model. The record is from RNAcentral.
CCUACGGGGGGCUGCAGUGGGGAAUUUUGGACAAUGGGGGCAACCCUGAUCCAGCCAUGCCGCGUGAGUGAAGAAGGCCUUCGGGUUGUAAAGCUCUUUCGGCCGGGAAGAAAUCGCUCAAGCUAAUACCUUGGGUGGAUGACGGUACCGGAAGAAGAAGCACCGGCUAACUACGUGCCAGCAGCCGCGGUGAUACGUAGGGUGCGAGCGUUAAUCGGAGUUACUGGGGGUGAAGCGAGCGGAGAGGGCUGAAAUCCCCGGGCUUAACCGGGGAACUGCGUUUGUGACUGUGGUGCUCGAGUGCGGCAGGGGGGGGUGGAAUUCCACGUGUAGCAGUGAAAUGCGUAGAGAUGUGGAGGAACACCGAUGGCGAAGGCAGCCCCCUGGGUCGACACUGACGCUCAUGCACGAAAGCGUGGGGAGCAAACAGGAUUAGAUACCCGAGUAGUC